Molecule: ribosomal RNA, 292 nt
Filed under: uncultured bacterium
Lineage: Bacteria
Description: partial 16S ribosomal RNA
Rfam family: Bacterial small subunit ribosomal RNA
Source: RNAcentral
GUGUCAGCAGCCGCGGUAAUACGUAGGGUGCGAGCGUUAAUCGGAAUUACUGGGCGUAAAGUGUGCGCAGGCGGCAGAGCAAGUCGAGUGUGAAAGCCCCGGGCUUAACUUGGGAAUUGCGCUCGAAACUACUUUGCUGGAGUGUGGCAGAGGAAGGUGGAAUUCCACGUGUAGCGGUGAAAUGCGUAGAGAUGUGGAGGAACACCAAUGGCGAAGGCAGCCUUCUGGGCCAACACUGACGCUCAUGCACGAAAGCGUGGGGAGCAAACAGGAUUAGAUACCCGAGUAGUCC